GUUUUUAUGGUUGAAUUACAACGAUGGUUUUUCAGAUCAUUGGUCUUGGUUAAAGCCCGAGUAAAAACU
Molecule: transfer RNA, 69 nt
Filed under: Indotyphlus maharashtraensis
Lineage: Eukaryota; Metazoa; Chordata; Amphibia; Gymnophiona; Indotyphlidae
Description: tRNA-Glu
Rfam family: tRNA
About the family: Transfer RNA (tRNA) molecules are approximately 80 nucleotides in length. Their secondary structure includes four short double-helical elements and three loops (D, anti-codon, and T loops).
Source: RNAcentral